RNAcentral lists this long non-coding RNA (632 nucleotides) under Salmo salar (Atlantic salmon). RNAcentral's name for it is "lncRNA (ENSSSAG00000095331.1)". Lineage: Eukaryota; Metazoa; Chordata; Actinopteri; Salmoniformes; Salmonidae. The record is from RNAcentral.
AGAGAAAUGUGUCCUUCUCAAGUUUAUCAGGAGGGAUGGGGAACAGCUGGAAUCUAAUUGUCAACUAUUGGCCAAUGAGAAGCGAGAUGCACAAUUGAGAGCAUCCUGUUGGGCUGUAUCACCACCUGGUACGGAAACUGCACCGCCAUCAACAGCAAGGCUCUCCAGAGGGAGGUGCGGUCUACCCAACUCAUCAACAGGGGCAAACUACCUGCCCUCCGGGACAACUACAGCACCUGAAGUCACAGGAAGGCCAAAAAGAUCAUCAAGGACAACAAUCACGCGAGCCACUGCCUGUUCACCCCAGCUACCAUCGAGAAGGCGAGGUCAGUACAGGUGCAUCAAAGCUGGGACCCAGAGACUGAAAAACAGCUUCUAUCUCAAGAGGAACACUGGCAAGGAGAGUGAUGGAAUGUGGGCAGAAAAGAGUAACUGUUGCCGUGGAGACCAAAGAAGGAUUUCCUCAGCCUACUGAACCCUCCUACUGGACUCCUCUCUCUCUCUCUCUUUCUCUCUCUCUCCCUCUCUUUUCCUCUCUUUCUCUACCUUCAUCUCUCUCAUUCUCUCUUUCAGUCUCUCGCUUUCGUUCUCUCCCUUCUCUCUCUCUGUCUGUCUGUUCUACUCCCUCCCUC